RNAcentral lists this microRNA precursor (67 nucleotides) under Myotis lucifugus (little brown bat). RNAcentral's name for it is "miRNA (ENSMLUG00000030283.1)". The record is from RNAcentral. Lineage: Eukaryota; Metazoa; Chordata; Mammalia; Chiroptera; Vespertilionidae.
UGUGAGUGUGUGAGUGUGUGAGUGUGUGUGUGUGUUGUGCACAUGUGCACACAAAGGGACUCUCCCA